GCGAUGAGAGGGACUGUCGCGGGUCGGGAAAGCCGGCGCGAGGAAAGUCGGGACAGCGCAGAGCACCAUACUUCCUAACGGGAAGGUGUCCGCAAGGGCAACAGCUAGUGCCGCAGAAAACAACCGCCUCGCAAGAGGUAAGGGUGAAAACGUGAGGUAAGAGCUCACGCAUCGGAUGGCGACAUCCCGAUGGGGUAAACCUUAUGGGCUGCAAAACCAAGUAAGAAGAUGCAGGUCCUUCGGGACCGAAAGGGCUGCUCGUCCGAGUCUUUUGG
Molecule: RNase P RNA, 275 nt
Filed under: Bacteroidales bacterium
Lineage: Bacteria; Pseudomonadati; Bacteroidota; Bacteroidia; Bacteroidales
Description: partial RNase P RNA component class A
Rfam family: Bacterial RNase P class A
About the family: Ribonuclease P (RNase P) is a ubiquitous endoribonuclease, found in archaea, bacteria and eukarya as well as chloroplasts and mitochondria. Its best characterised activity is the generation of mature 5'-ends of tRNAs by cleaving the 5'-leader elements of precursor-tRNAs.
Source: RNAcentral